AUCUCUCCUCACAACAAAACCUACAUUUUCUUGUUCCCAAACUCUUUCUCUCGUCAUCGGACACACCCUCUCCUUUGCCCGAAGAGGGAAAAGACUGUUUUGUGUCGUGAUGGGGUGGAACGAGCUGCAGUGGGGUGGGGUUGUGUCGCGAAACACAAAUGGGAGGGGGUGCAAGGAUUUAGUGAAUUGGCAAAAGAGAGAUUUCAUAUAAUGUGUGGGUGAG
RNAcentral lists this long non-coding RNA (223 nucleotides) under Glycine max (soybean). Its description in RNAcentral is "long non-coding RNA (GMAX_LNC003706)". Lineage: Eukaryota; Viridiplantae; Streptophyta; Magnoliopsida; Fabales; Fabaceae. The record is from RNAcentral.